Molecule: ribosomal RNA, 253 nt
Filed under: uncultured bacterium
Lineage: Bacteria
Description: partial 16S ribosomal RNA
Rfam family: Bacterial small subunit ribosomal RNA
Source: RNAcentral
UACGUAGGGUGCAAGCGUUGUCCGGAAUUAUUGGGCGUAAAGAGCUCGUAGGCGGUUUGUCGCGUCUGCUGUGAAAACUCGGGGCUUAACUCCGGGCCUGCAGUGGGUACGGGCAGACUAGAGUGCGGUAGGGGAGACUGGAAUUCCUGGUGUAGUGGUGAAAUGCGCAGAUAUCGGGAGGAACACCUGUGGCGAAAGCGGCGCACUGGACCACAACUGACGCUGAGGCGCGAAAGCUAGGGGAGCAAACAGG